CCUACGGGAGGCAGCAGUGAGGAAUAUUGGUCAAUGGGCGUAAGCCUGAACCAGCCAAGUCGCGUGAGGGAUGAAGGUUCUAUGGAUCGUAAACCUCUUUUAUAAGGGAAUAAAGUGCGGGACGUGUCCCGUUUUGUAUGUACCUUAUGAAUAAGGAUCGGCUAACUCCGUGCCAGCAGCCGCGGUAAUACGGAGGAUCCGAGCGUUAUCCGGAUUUAUUGGGUUUAAAGGGUGCGUAGGCGGCCUUUUAAGUCAGCGGUGAAAGUCUGUGGCUCAACCAGAGAAUUGCCGUUGAAACUGGGAGGCUUGAGUAUGUUUGAGGCAGGCGGAAUGCGUGGUGUAGCGGUGAAAUGCUUAGAUAUCACGCAGAACCCCGAGCGCGAAGGCAGCCUACCAAGCCAUGACUGACGCUGAUGCACGAAAGCGUGGGGAUCAAACAGGAUUAGAUACCCUUGUAGUC
RNAcentral lists this ribosomal RNA (460 nucleotides) under uncultured bacterium. RNAcentral describes it as "partial 16S ribosomal RNA". It matches the Rfam family "Bacterial small subunit ribosomal RNA", at positions 338 to 795 of the family's 1533-position model. The record is from RNAcentral.